GGAGUACGCCGGGAGCGGACACGCAGACGGGCCACCUUCGGUGGACACUGCAGAAGAGACCGUGCACACACAGGCGUUACACAACCCUGUUAAAAGCAUCACUGUAUCAGACAUCAUCAUUUAUAAAGAACGCGUGUGCUCAACUGUCUGGCGCUGUCCCCUUUGCUAAUACAGGAUUUCCAAAACAGGGAGGGUUCGGCCGGGCACGGUGGUUCGGCCGGGCACGGUGGCUUGCGCCUGUAAUCCCAGAGUUUUGGGAGGUCGAGUCAGGAGGAUUACUUGAGCCCAGGAGUUCGAGACCAGCCUGGCUAACAUAGUGAGAGCCCAGUAUCUACAAAUUUUCUUUCUUUUUUUUUUUUUUUUUGAGGCGGUGUCUCGCUUUGUCUCCCAGGCUGGGGUGCAGUGGCGCGAUCUCAGCUCACUGCAACCUUUGCCUCCCGGAUUCAAGCGAUUCUCCUGGCUCACCCACCCGAGUAACUGGGAUUACAGGCGCCCACCACCACGCCCGGCUAAUUUUUAUAUUUUUGGUAGAGACGGGGUUUCACCAUGUUGGCCAGGCUGGUAUCAAACUCCUGGCCUCAAUUGAUCUGCCCGCCUCGGCCUCCCAAAGUGCUGGGAUUACAGGCAUGAGCCACCGCGCCGGGCCCAAAAUUAUUUUUAAUUAGCCGCGUGGUGGCGGGCGCCUGUGGUCCGAGCUACUCGGGAGGCUGAGGUGGAAGGAUCACCUGAGUCCAGGAGUUCCAGGCUGCAGUGAUCCGAGAUAGCACCACUUUCACUCUAGCCUGGGCGGCAGAGUGAGACUCCGUCUCAAAAAAAAAAAAAAAAAAAAGGAAAACGAGGGUCUGAGUAAGUGAGGGUACAGCUCUUCCUUAGACUAGCUUUCCUGUCAAUAAAUGUGGAAGGAAUAGUGGAAAUAGAAAAAUUUUCCACUGGGUAGCCACCCCAAUAAUAGCUGCUGUAGACGAAAAUCUUGAGUGAUAAAAAUAGUGGGCCGGGCCCUGUGGCUCACGCCUGUAACCCCAGUACUUUGGGAGGCCGAAGCAGGCGGAUCACCUGAGCUCAAGAGUUCCACACCAGCUUGGGCAACGUGGCGAAACCUUAUCUCUACUGAAAAUACAAAAAGUAGCCAGGCGUGGUAGCAGGCACCUGUAAUCCCAGCUACUCGGGAGGCUGAGGCAGGAGAAUCGCUUGAACCCGGGAGGUGGAGGUUGCAAUGAUCUGAGAUCGGGCCACUGCACUCCAACCUGGGUGACAGAACGAGACCGUCUCCAGAAAAAAUAGUGAGCAAGGCCAGGCACAGUGGCUCAUGCGUGUAAUCCCAGCACUUUGGGAGGCCGAGGCGGGCGGAUCACUUGAGGUUAGGAGUUCGAGACCAGCCUGACCAACAUGGUGAAACCCUGUCUCUACUAUAAAUACAAAAAAAAAUAGCAGGGCUUGGUGGCAGGUGCCUGUUGUCCCAGCUACGGAGGCUGAAGCUGGAGAAUUGCUUGAACCUGGGAGGCAGGAGUUGCAGUGAGCCAAGAUCCAGCCACUGCACUCCAGCAUGGGCAACAGAACGAGACUCGGUCCCCGGCCCCCAACCCCCUACAAAAAAAUUAGGCCAGGCACAGUGGCUUACGCCUGUAAUCCCAGCACUUUGGGAGGCCGAGGCGGGUGGGUCACGAGGUCAAGAGAUCAAGACCAUCCUGGCCAAGAUGGUGAAACCUCGUCUCUACUAAAACUACAAAAAAAAUUAGCUGGGCAUGGUGGCACGUGCCUGUAGUCCCAGCUACUCGGGAGGCCAAGGCAGGAGAAUCACUUGAACCUGGGAGGCAGAGGUUGUGGUGAGCCGGGAUCACGCCACUGCACUCCAGCCUGGGUGACAGAGUGAGACUCCAUCUCAAAAAAAAAAAAAAAUAGUGGGCAAAAACAUGACAAACAGGUUUUGUUUUGUUUUCAGUGUUGCAAAGUUUCUCCCCCAGGAUACUAAUUGCCUAGGGAAAAUAGUAGUUUUAGAGUGGAAGAAAACUUGGGCGACACCACCUUUAACCAAGCCAUCAAGGUCACCAGCAAACUUAGCAAAUUGUACCAUUUAAACAUGUGUAUUGCAUUGUAUAUAAAUUCUGCCUCAAUAGAAAUGAAAAAAGUUAGUUCCAGUAAGAGGACAUACUGUGGACCUCCUGAGAAGAACACAAGUUCACUUGUGGGUAUUUUUGCCCAAAAGGCAGAAUCUGAAUGAAGAGCAGACAAACCCCAAAUUAGGGGCAUUCUGCAAAAUUACCAGCCAGUGCUUUUCAAGUAUCGAGAUCAUUCAAGUCAAAGAUGGACUGAGGAGCCAUCUUCAAUUAAAAGAGAUAACAAAAUGCAGUGUGGAAUCCAGACGAUAGAUGGGAUCCUGGCUCAGAAAAGGGACAUUAAUGGGACAAUUGAUAUAAUUCAAACAAGGUCUGUAGAUUAGUUAAUACUAUUGUAUUGGCCUGGCGCGGUGGCUCACGCCUGUAAUCCCAGCACUUUGGGAGGCUGAGGCAGGCAGAUCACGAGGUCAGGAGAUCGAGACCAUCCUGGCUAACAGGGUGAAACCCCGUCUCUACUAAAAAUACAAAAACAUUAGCCGGGCAUGGUGGCACGCACCUGUAGUUGCAGCUACUUGGGAGGCUGAGGCAGGAGAAUUGCUUGAACCCGGGAUGCAAAGGUUGCAGUGAGCUGAGAUCGCGCCACUGCACUCCAGCCUGGGAGACAGCAGGAGAC
RNAcentral lists this long non-coding RNA (2727 nucleotides) under Homo sapiens (human). RNAcentral describes it as "non-protein coding lnc-TRMT2A-3:1". Lineage: Eukaryota; Metazoa; Chordata; Mammalia; Primates; Hominidae. The record is from RNAcentral.